GUUAAAGUGCUGUGUGCCUUUUUUUCUUUUUCUUUUUGUAAAUAAUGCAAUGGAAAUGUAAAUAGAAUGUGAAGAAAAAGAAAUAAUAACGCCCCUACAGUCUGUAACCGGUUCUGUUCACACUUCCAUCACUGACUUUCAGGAACUCAUUUGACGAAGACUCUGCACAGAUCCACACCGUUCCACCUUUUAGGAUUUGUUAUUGUGAGAACGGCCGCACCUCAGUAAGCGUAUCUGGAGAGGGGGGUGUCUUCCAUCAAAUCAUCCUGAAGGGGAUCCUGGAGGCGAUGGAACUCCGGGUGGUUCGUCCGCUGGCGGAAGCGCAGAAAGAGGACGAUGAAGACGACUGCAGUGGUGACGAUGAAGACUGAGAGCAGACCAGCGAGGAGGGGGUCCAGAGAAGCGUGGGAACUCCACUGAACUCUUUUGAGCUCUACAAGAGAUACAUCAUGAAGACAACACAUUAUGGUUCUAAGGAUGUGGCGGGCCAGGAUUGGUCCCCAGGCUUUGAGUUUGACACCUGUGGUCUAGAGAGAGGAUGAUAUAACAACAACUGUUGGUGUGUCAGCAUUGUCACAGCCAGGAAACGACACCUAAGAGAAAGGCGGAUGCAUCCAUAAAUUGGUGGCGUCUGAUAGAAUAAUUGUUUCUAAAUUAUCACAAAAACUUUGUGUUACAUUGAGAGUCUGGUGAGAAGACAAAAGCCGUCUUUGAAACCUACCAAGAGUAAGGCUCGUAAAACUCCACUGCGUAGGGAGUGAAAGCAAGAUGAAGGUGUUCCUGUGUUCUUUCAUGUAUGGUAAUCAACAGAAAGAUAUUGUUCUAACCCAAGGACUUCAAAGCGGAGAGGAGACAGGAUCUGCCCAAUUUCCAGACGACCUCUUUUUGAAGUAUUUUACAAACUCUUUUUGAACUAUUUUAUGGACCUCUUUUUGAACUAUUUUAUGCAACUCUUUUUGAACUAUUUUACGACCUCUUCUUUUGAACUAUUCUGUAACCAAAGGCAACGCUGUUUACGACCCACUUCCCUCUGGAAGUGGAAGCGUUGGUCAGGUGGUCGGAGAAAGUCAAAUAAAGGAGGAGGAGUGCAAUCUUUUGGCAGAGCGUGCUGA
Molecule: long non-coding RNA, 1112 nt
Organism: Entelurus aequoreus (snake pipefish)
Lineage: Eukaryota; Metazoa; Chordata; Actinopteri; Syngnathiformes; Syngnathidae
Exons: 3
Source: RefSeq, a predicted model, not a curated record